GUGGGGUAGUGGAUUUCAUGGUGGGAUGGGGGAGUAGGUCUGAGCCAAGGAUGACUUGCCGCCGCUGAAACCACAAUUGCAUGCUUUGCUUUCUUGUGUCCCAAACUGUAUGCUUUGGUCCAUUGGGCUGGGAAGUUGUCCUUGGCUCUAGCUUCCUCCCUCGCCUAUUUUCCAUGUAAGACUUUACCAUCCAC
This 194-nucleotide microRNA precursor is filed under the name Linum usitatissimum (flax). Lineage: Eukaryota; Viridiplantae; Streptophyta; Magnoliopsida; Malpighiales; Linaceae. The record is from RNAcentral.